RNAcentral lists this ribosomal RNA (253 nucleotides) under uncultured bacterium. RNAcentral describes it as "partial 16S ribosomal RNA". It matches the Rfam family "Bacterial small subunit ribosomal RNA", at positions 524 to 776 of the family's 1533-position model. The record is from RNAcentral.
UACGUGGGGUCCAAGCGUUGUCCGGAUUUAUUGGGCGUAAAGAGCUCGUAGGCGGCUCGGUAAGUCGGAUGUGAAAACUCGAGGCUCAACCUCGGGCUUGCAGUGGGUACGGGCAGACUAGAGUGCGGUAGGGGAGACUGGAAUUCCUGGUGUAGCGGUGGAAUGCGCAGAUAUCAGGAGGAACACCAAUGGCGAAGGCAGCUCGCUGGGACGUGACUGACGCUGAGACGCGAAAGCGUGGGGAGCAAACAGG